CCUACGGGUGGCAGCAGUGGGGAAUAUUGGGCAAUGGAGGAAACUCUGACCCAGCAACGCCGCGUGAAGGAUGAAGGUUUUCGGAGUGUAAACUUCUGUCGCGAGGGAGGAAGAAUGACGGGACCGCGUAAGAAAGCCCCGGCAAACUACGUGCCAGCAGCCGCGGUAAUACGGAGGGGGCGAGCGUGGUCCGGAAUGACGGGGCGUAAAGGGAGUGGAGGCGGCAGAGUCAGGUAUGUGUGCAAGCCCGCGGCUCAACCGCGGAAUUGCCCAUCAAACUGGUAAGCUGGAGUGCAGGAGAGGUAAGUGGAAUUCCCGUUGUAGCGGUGGAAUGCGUAGAUAUCGGGCGGAACACCAGCGGCGAAGGCGACUUACUGGACUGUACCUGACGCUGAGGCUCGAAAGCGUGGGGAGCAAACAGGAUUAGAUCCCCUUGUAGUC
This 441-nucleotide ribosomal RNA is filed under the name uncultured bacterium. Its description in RNAcentral is "partial 16S ribosomal RNA". It matches the Rfam family "Bacterial small subunit ribosomal RNA", at positions 338 to 795 of the family's 1533-position model. The record is from RNAcentral.